This is a small nuclear RNA of Delphinapterus leucas (beluga whale), 100 nucleotides long. The record is from Ensembl. Lineage: Eukaryota; Metazoa; Chordata; Mammalia; Artiodactyla; Monodontidae.
ACAAUUUUAGCUCAUGUAUACUAAAAUUGGAACAAUACAGAGAUUAGCAUGGCCCCUGCACAAGGAUGACAUGCAAAUUCAUGAAGCGUUCCAUAUUUUU